ACCCGCUGAACUUAAGCAUAUCAAUAAGCGGAGGAAAAGAAACCAACAGGGAUUGCCUCAGUAACGGCGAGUGAAGCGGCAACAGCUCAAAUUUGAAAUCUGGCCUCUGGGCCCGAGUUGUAGUUUGUAGAGGAUGCUUCAGGCAUGGCCCGGUCCAAGUGCCUUGGAAUAGGGCGCCAGAGAGGGUGAGAGUCCCGUACGUGACCAGGUGCCUUUGCCUGUGUGAAGCUCCUUCGACGAGUCGAGUUGUUUGAGACUGCAGCUCAAAAUGGGUGGUAAAUUUCAUCUAAAGCUAAAUAUUGGCCAGAGACCGAUAGCGCACAAGUAGAGUGAUCGAAAGAUGAAAAGCACUUUGGAAAGAGAGUCAAACAGCACGUGAAAUUGUUGAGAGGGAAGCGCUUGCAGCCAGACCUUGCAUGCCGUCAAUCAUCCGCUGUUCUCACCGGUGCACUUGGCGGCGUUCAGGCCAGCAUUGGCCCUGGCGGCUGGACAAAGACCGCGGGAAUGUAGCUCCCCCUGGGGAGUGUUAUAGCCUGUGGUGUAAUACGGCCAGCCGGGACCAAGGACCGCGCUCCUGCUAGGAUGCUGGCGUAAUGGUUGUAAGCGACCCGUCUUGAAACACGG
This 624-nucleotide ribosomal RNA is filed under the name uncultured fungus. RNAcentral describes it as "eukaryotic LSU rRNA". It matches the Rfam family "Eukaryotic large subunit ribosomal RNA", at positions 23 to 664 of the family's 3401-position model. The record is from RNAcentral. Lineage: Eukaryota; Fungi.